UUAACUCACAUUUGUAUGGAGUUGGAACGUUUGCCUACGUUUGCCGCUAGGAGUGCUGUUCCAACUCCAUACAAAUUUGAGUUA
This is a non-coding RNA of Bombyx mori (domestic silkworm), 84 nucleotides long. The record is from Rfam. Lineage: Eukaryota; Metazoa; Arthropoda; Insecta; Lepidoptera; Bombycidae.